CGGGUGAGUAAUGUCUGGGAAACUGCCCGAUGGAGGGGGAUAACUACUGGAAACGGUAGCUAAUACCGCAUAAUGUCUGCGGACCAAAGCGGGGGACCUCCGGGCCUCGCGCCAUCAGAUGAACCCAUAUGGGAUUAGCUAGUAGGUGGGGUAAUGGCUCACCUAGGCGACGAUCCCUAGCUGGUCUGAGAGGAUGACCAGCCACACUGGAACUGAGACACGGUCCAG
This 228-nucleotide ribosomal RNA is filed under the name uncultured bacterium. RNAcentral's name for it is "partial 16S ribosomal RNA". It matches the Rfam family "Bacterial small subunit ribosomal RNA", at positions 103 to 334 of the family's 1533-position model. The record is from RNAcentral.